AUUAGAUGUAUGUUUCACUAUAAUACGUUAUUCUGAUUGGCUAACUGCACAUCACGUGUCAUUCCGUAAGCAAUUGCAUUACUCAAUAAAACUUUCAUUCAUGAUAACACGAGGUGCCACAAUAAAGUGCACAGGUGAAUUAAAUAAAAAAUUGAUAAAAUUCGUGUUUUCAUGAUCCUAGCCAAAAAAUGUAAUUAUAAGUAUUGAAUGCUUCUUUUUGUAACUUCAUAGGGUUGUAAAAGCGUUGACC
This 250-nucleotide long non-coding RNA is filed under the name Mytilus galloprovincialis (Mediterranean mussel). The record is from RNAcentral. Lineage: Eukaryota; Metazoa; Mollusca; Bivalvia; Mytilida; Mytilidae.